RNAcentral lists this ribosomal RNA (253 nucleotides) under uncultured bacterium. RNAcentral describes it as "partial 16S ribosomal RNA". It matches the Rfam family "Bacterial small subunit ribosomal RNA", at positions 524 to 776 of the family's 1533-position model. The record is from RNAcentral.
UACGGAGGAUGCGAGCGUUAUCCGGAAUCACUGGGUUUAAAGGGUGCGUAGGCGGGUAUAUAAGUCAGAGGUGAAAUCUGGUGGCUUAACCAUCAAAUUGCCUUUGAAACUGUGUAUCUUGAAAUAUGGUGAGGUUGGCGGAAUGUGACAUGUAGCGGUGAAAUGCAUAGAUAUGUCAUAGAACACCAAUUGCGAAGGCAGCUGACUGGCCAUUAUUUGACGCUGAGGCACGAAAGCGUGGGGAGCGAACAGG